UUUGUAUUACGUGCGGAAAUUGUUACCAUUUUUCAGCCAAAAUGGUAACAAUUUCCGCACGUAAUACAAA
Paramuricea clavata is the source of this 70-nucleotide non-coding RNA. The record is from the annotation of a GenBank genome assembly. Lineage: Eukaryota; Metazoa; Cnidaria; Anthozoa; Malacalcyonacea; Plexauridae.